Molecule: long non-coding RNA, 927 nt
Filed under: Phoenix dactylifera (date palm)
Lineage: Eukaryota; Viridiplantae; Streptophyta; Magnoliopsida; Arecales; Arecaceae
Description: long non-coding RNA (PDAC_LNC009715)
Source: RNAcentral
UUGAAAACACACCUUAAGGAUAAAAUCAGUGCUAAAUUGUAUUUAAAUAAGAAAAAUUUUAUUUGAAAAGAAUUGAUUUUGAUCCUUGACAUACUUGUUCUUAAUACUUUAAUGGUAUGCAUAUUAUGUUUUGCAUGUGGCAUGAUGUUUUGAAUUGUGAGUUUUCAAUAUUCAGAUAAAUUGAGGAUCUUAUUCAAAUAUAAUUUGUAAUGCUAUAUGCCUAGAUAAUUUAAUUGAAACAUGUUUCUACCAACAACAUCAUUUUAUUUUAGUAAAUAUCUGCCAAAAAUAAUAAUAAAAAAAAGAACAAUCUGAAUUGCAAAUUAGGCAGAAUGAAUUAAUUCUGAUUUAUCUUUCAUCUUGCCUAACAUUGGCACAUAAUGUUCUGAUACAUGUUAAAUGUUCUCCAAUUUGUACCAAAACUCAAUAUUAAAAAUAAAGAUUCUGAAUGUGCUCUGAUGUGCUUGAAAUAUAUAUUUUCAAUCUUAAUGACUUAAAAUGAGCUACAAUGUAGAAGAUACAUAUCUCAAAUUAUAAAUUUUGAAAGCCUUCUUGAAAAUUCUUAUGAAAUUCAGAAUAUGACCUAGUAUAAAAGUUUAAACUCCAUAUAAAAUGCUUAUAUCUUUGCAUUUUUGUAAUUUUCAUUAUAUGCUUCAAAGAUUGCAUCAUGCUGGAGAAUAAUUUACUAUGAUUCUUAGAUAAAAACUACAGCCUAAGAAAAAUAGAAUUAAUUUUGAUACCUUGAUUGUUUACUCCGAUACGCAUCUGAAACAUAUCAUUUUUUAUCUUAUAAGUGUGCUGAAAUUGGUCUAAAUGAUGUGUUCUUCAAUGAUCUUGAUUGCGAACAAAUGUUUCUAAAUAUAUGAUGUUAUUUUGAUAUUAAAAAGAUUUAUCGUGCUUCAUAUAUACAUUGCUGAAAAACUAUGA